UAUAUCCUAAAACGUGACUAUUCCGGGAUGUUUUUCACAGAAUACGGAACCGGUACCGGUCCGGACUGCCUGGCCCCUGCCACUGCAUCCAGAGUGACCGGAGGGAAACCAUCCAAGGGCCCAUCGGGACCCGUUCUGGCCCAGGACGCUCGGAUUGAGGGCCGCCGUCUUCCCGACUUCGACGAUCACUUCCACCUCCAGGAAUCGUGGCCUCCCAGCACCGGAGAUGCCACAGCCCCUCGGCCCGGGUCAGAGGAGUUCGAAGCUCGGCCGGUGCUGGGUCCCUCUCCUGGAGCUGCCAGAAAGGCAGCAAUUAAAACCUCAUUUAGCAUUUCUGUUUCGUUGGAUGGAGCUGCACAAGUGACCAAGAUGGGGACGGAUGGAGAAGGGAACAUCGUCAAGACGCCCGGUGGCCUCUCUGACUCUCCAUGACGUUGGCCCUGCCAAUGCACUUUGGCUGGGGCGGCCCCGGCCCCGGAAUCCGGCCCCCCUCCGUCCUGGACCGUCCACACCGACUCCCCGUGACCGUAGAGGACGGCCGAUGGUGACCCCGUCCGGAGUGGGACCUGGUUCCAGGGGAGACGGGGCUUGGGGUGGUCCCGGUCGCCCUGAUGUUUGAUCCGUCUUGACGGCCCAGGAGAGCUACCCCCUGUGCUUCGUGUUUGCCACCGGGCCUGGCCCGGGAAGACCCUGGGCUCCUACCAGGCUCGGCCUGGGUAGCCUCGGUUCUGACCUCAAACCAGCCUUAGUCUUGGUAGCCUCGGUUCUGGGCUCCCACCAGGCCUGGUCCGGGCAGCCUCGGUUCCGGGCGAGGAGGAUGAGGCUCUGCGGCUCCGGAGCAGAAAGGGAAAGCGCCUCCCGCCCAGGGGGAGCAGAGUCCCCGCGCCUUCGGGCUUCGAAGAGCCCCGGGGCACCGGUGCCCUUCCCCGUCCUUUCUGUCGGCCGGGCUCCCGUGCUGGGCCCGCGCGCCGGCCGUGCCAACGCCACCUCCCCGCGGGCCGCUGCCAGCCUGGCAACGCUGUUGGCUGUCGAGCCCGGAGCUGUCACCUCGUGGCUCCAGCGGAGAAGAUUGAAAGAAGAAAUCGGUAAGGGGGAGGGGAAGGGGGGUGACACCCAGAGCGAGCCCGCGAAAGGCCCAGAGGAGGCCGUGCCAACCCAGCGCUCUGAAGGGGAUUUGAGAAGCCCUCGAAGCUAAUCCGGCCACGGGCCCGCCUCCCGGACCCGGCAGCCGCCGCUCUCCAGCCAGUCCUGGGCGCCUAGUGUGAGCAGUCGUACUUGGGGAGCGCUUACUGCGUGCAAAGCACUGUACUAAGCCCCGGGGAGAGCGCCGUAGGGCAUCCAACGGAUUGCCCGCUCACAACGCGCUCACCGUCCAGCGGACGCCGAAUCGAU
Molecule: long non-coding RNA, 1392 nt
Filed under: Ornithorhynchus anatinus (platypus)
Lineage: Eukaryota; Metazoa; Chordata; Mammalia; Monotremata; Ornithorhynchidae
Description: lncRNA (ENSOANG00000045401.1)
Source: RNAcentral